This 71-nucleotide transfer RNA is filed under the name Microcaecilia sp. PZ-2009. RNAcentral describes it as "tRNA-Gln". It matches the Rfam family "tRNA". From Rfam's summary of the family: Transfer RNA (tRNA) molecules are approximately 80 nucleotides in length. Their secondary structure includes four short double-helical elements and three loops (D, anti-codon, and T loops). Further hydrogen bonds mediate the characteristic L-shaped molecular structure. tRNAs have two regions of fundamental functional importance: the anti-codon, which is responsible for specific mRNA codon recognition, and the 3' end, to which the tRNAs corresponding amino acid is attached (by aminoacyl-tRNA synthetases). tRNAs cope with the degeneracy of the genetic code in two manners: having more than one tRNA (with a specific anti-codon) for a particular amino acid; and 'wobble' base-pairing, i.e. permitting non-standard base-pairing at the 3rd anti-codon position. The record is from RNAcentral. Lineage: Eukaryota; Metazoa; Chordata; Amphibia; Gymnophiona; Siphonopidae.
UAGAAAAUUGUGUAAUGGUUGCACGAAGGGCUUUGAUUCCUUAUGUGUAGGUUCGAGUCCUGUUUUUCUAG